AAAAUUAGAGUGUUCAAAGCAGGCAGAUCCAAUUUUCUGCCACCGAAUACAUUAGCAUGGGAUAAUGGAAUAGGACCCUGUCCUCCUAUUUUCAGUUGGUUUUGGCAGCGCGAGGACUAGGGUAAUGAUUAAUAGGGAUAGUUGGGGGCAUUAAUAUUUAAUUGUCAGAGGUGAAAUUCUUGGAUUUAUGAAAGAUUAACUUCUGCGAAAGCAUCUGCCAAGGAUGUUUUCAUUAAUCAAGAACGAAAGUUAGGGGAUCGAAGACGAUCAGAUACCGUCGUAGUCUUAACCAUAAACGAUGCCGACCAGCGAUUAGGAGACGUUGAAUACAAAACACCACCAUCGGUGCGGUCGUCCUUGGCGUCUCGGUUUCACGGCCGGGGCGCGGGGGUGGCUUAGCCCGGUGGCACCGGUGAA
This 417-nucleotide ribosomal RNA is filed under the name Acanthamoeba sp. M1a. Its description in RNAcentral is "SSU rRNA". The stretch from base 1 to 373 matches the Rfam family "Eukaryotic small subunit ribosomal RNA", at positions 762 to 1115 of the family's 1831-position model. Lineage: Eukaryota; Discosea; Longamoebia; Acanthamoebidae. The record is from RNAcentral.